Non-coding RNA from Rattus norvegicus (Norway rat), 9972 nucleotides. NCBI's taxonomy places the organism in Eukaryota, Metazoa, Chordata, Mammalia, Rodentia, Muridae. The record is from RefSeq and is a predicted model, not a curated record.
UUCUCUCUGGCAUGAUCUGUCUACAAGAUAAAUACUCUUUGAAGUUCACUGGCCUCUGCUGUCAAUGCUCCACUGUUGUCCUGGGUUUGGAGAAAAUGAACUCUCUGGUACCCUUAGCUACCCUGCCUGUCUAUGAUGUAGUGGGCGGGGCUAAGGGAAAGAUGGCCAUGACCUGGGCUGACCUGCAUAGAGAGGGAAGCCUUGGGCCUUGUGUCUGUUGGUGUUAAGAUGUCAGCUUCUAGGGAAAACAUCAGCAUAUGGAGGCGACACAGGUGUUGUCCGGGCAGGCUCCAGCUGGCUCUACUCCACUGCUUCUGCUGUCCUUGGUGGUCAUUCCCGUGGUCCUGGAUCUCCAAAAUGCAGUCGUCUCUUCCUUCAACCGGGCUGUGCUUCCACCAGUAGCCUCUCCAGGGCUCUCUCCAGGGACUCCAGCGCAGCCACAGUGCCAAGCCUCAGCUGCUCUCAUGACCCCUUCAUGCCUUCAAACUCAGCAGCACCUUGCUGACUCUUACGCUAUCAAGUCUGGCUGCCAGUGGCAAGGUACAACCUUGGCCACUUCUGGAACACAGAUUCUGUGUGCUGACUAUAAGAAACACUUCCCAGAAUAUUUCACCUCAAUAAUGCUGGUCUCUUUUUUUUUUUUUUUAAGAUUUUAUUUCAUGUAUGUGAGUACACUGUAGCUGUCUUCAGACACACCAAAAGAGGGCAUCAGAUCUCAUUACAGAUGGUUGUGAGCCACCAUGUGGUUGCUGGGAUUUGAACUCAGGUCCUCAGGAAGAGCAGUCGGUGCUCUUAACCGCUGAGCCAUCUCUCCAGCCCUUGCUGGUCUCUUCUUAAUCACCACUAAUUAAUUUCUCAGCUCCAGCCGACCAGCAUCAAUUGUCCCUUGUUAAUCACCACUGACCCUUCAGCCUCAGCUUACCAGAAGGACAGACUCUUAAGUUAAAAUAGCAGAUGGUCCCAUAGGGUCUUUAAACUUCCCUCUGAAACUUCACAAGCCAGGCCUCCAGCUUCUAUGUUUCUCUCAACACCAUCUUCCAAGCUCGAUGGCUUUUUAAAGCCACAUCGCCAAAGUCCUUCCACAAUUCUCCCACAAAAUAUACGUUCAGGUCUGUCACAGCAAUGCCCCCACUACCUUGGCACUAAUAUCUUAGUUAGAGGUUUUUAGUAUUAUUUAAUCUCAGCCUGGUUUCUACCCUGCACUUGAUUAUUCAGUUCCUACAUAAAAGACACAAAACCAUAUUUAUAAUACGCCUUAGAAGCACUAGAGCCACGCUCUAUGCUAUUAUGGCUGCUUCUCCACCAAUAACCCAGAGUUAUGAUUUGCUAUGUUCCACCUGGGGCCAGCCCUCAGGGCCAUGUUUUCAAGACUCGCUCACCCCAUUGAAUCACCUCUUCUCUCCACCUUCUCUCCCCUCUGCGGUGCCCAGUCUCAGACCCCAAGUCCAGAAACCAAAACUCCGCCUAUCUCUCUUCUCUGCCCAGCUAUAGGCCAUUGGCAUCUUUAUUCACCAAUCGGGGAUAACUUAGGAGGCCAAGCUACCGAGCAUCACUUGGGGUGAGUGUCUCCUGGUCCCCGAGGCAGCCAGGGCCAGUGUUCAGCCUGACACACAGAGCAACAGACAAAACCUCAACUGUUUUUACGUUAAGGAGCAAGGUUUGCACAGCAAAGGCGGGAAUUCACAAGGUGGCCUUUCUUAUAGCACCAGGGACCUCCUACCCACAACCAGCUCGGCCCUCCCCUACCAAUCACUAACUAGGAGACUACCUUAGAGGCUUGCCUACAGCCAGAUCAUCUAGAAACAUUUUCUCACUUGAGGCUUCCUUCCCUCCCUAGCUUGUCAAGUUGACAGGAAAACUAGCCCACACACCUAGUGAGCUGAGCUUCUAAAUUUUGCUUUAAGGGUAAAAGCUAAGUACGUGUGCAGACUGGCUACGUAGCUCUUGGGUGAAAAGAUGUUAAACGUUGUGCUUUACAACGCUUCUGAUGUAAGUGUCCAUCAUUUGCAGAAUGGCACCCCAGACUGAAAUGGUAUGUAAACACAGUGUUUUAUUCUGUAGACCCCAAGCAUGCUGAGGUCUCCCAUUACCAAGAUAGACACCCAAGUGAGCUUGAAGACCUGAUUUAAAGCACAUUAGGGAAUUCCAGGGUGGGUGACCUCUGUUAAUCUGUCAGGUCUAUCUCUAGGGACCUUCCAUUACCAGGCAUGAGGGCUGGAGACCUGCUGCGGGGUCUGGAAACUGCUACUGAGGAAGUCUGGAAACGACUGCUGACCCAUUGUCCUUGCCUAAGGCCAAGUGGUGGGGCAGUUCUGAGGCCUGGACUCCUCUGCAAUUGCCCAGUUCUUGGAAACAGGUUUAGGCCUAGUCUCCUUAACUGCCAACUGCUGAUUUGAAGCCUGUCAUGGAAUCAGCCUAGCCUUCUCACUAAGAGGCCUAGCUUAAGAUACUUCGUUGAGAUGGUGUCCUCUGAACCUGAACUGUUUAUAUAGUUCCAGCUAUCCUGGAACUCACUGUGGAGACCAGGCUGGACUCCAGUUCACAGAGAGCUGCUGGGAUUAAAGGUGUACACCAUCCUGCCCUGCUGUUUGUGAUUACGAAUUGUGUUAAAUGACAUUCACACUUGCUAACUCUGUGCACUCCAACAGCACCUCCUAAUAACUGAAGGCUAUUGGAUGCCGGUGGGAACGUAAGAACAUCUGUGAGCGUGUACCCGACUUUUCUGAACUACAGUUCCCAGAAGAAAGAAGGGGGGAGAAGAAUGGAAAAGGAAAAAAGGGAGUGGGGGGGGGAGCUGCACCUCUAUUAGAAGAUUCCACAAGGCCAAAUGACAAAACGUCAAGAUUAUGGAUGCAUUAAAAUGUUUUAGACCAGAGUCAGAUUAUCUUGGGCUUUUAGUUCCCUAGGAAGUCAUUCAUUUCCCACCUCUGUGUCUGACCUAGCAUGGUUGCCAGAGAAAUGGUUCACCAGCACUGGCUGCUCUUGCAGAGGACUAGGAUUUGAUUCCUAGCAUCCACACGGUAGCCCACAACCAUUGAUAACUCUCAGUUCCGGGGCAUCCAAAGCCCUCUUCUGACUUCCAAAGAUAACGGUCGUGAAUACGGUGCACACACAUACAUGCCGGCAAAACUUAAUGCACAACUUCAAUAAAUCUUUAAAAUGUUUUGUUUCUGGCUGGAGAGAUCAAUGGCUCAGCAGUUAGGAGUACCGGCUCCUCUUCCGGCAACCACGGAGUGGCUUCCAACCAUCUACAAUGGGAUCUGAUGCCCUGCCCUCUUCUGUCACGCAGGCAUACGUGCAAAUAGACCACUCAUAUACAUAAAUACGUAAAUCUUUUUUAUAACUCCACACUUUGUUUAAUAUUCAAAUGUAUCCUUAAGACAUCACUAUCUUUCACCAUCCCAAAGCUAAGAAUAUCAUCAGAUAGGGAAUUCCUCCAAGGGUAAGACUAUUACCCCAAAGGGCAAAUUUUGGGGAAGGCUAGGCAAGGUACCACGAGUCACCGUUGUUGGACGGACCACUACCCUGUAGCCCUGAGGUUCUGGGGUCAAAUGGGCCUCCACUGGGGAUCCGCCCUCUACGGCACCCCUGGUAGAGUGGGUAGGUGACCACUAAACCAGAGUCUAGGGACUCAGCAACACCCUUCGGAGCAGUUCUCAAAGUAGCUGUGCAAAUCUGACUAUGUGGUCUGCACCGAGUCGGCUGGUGAACUGAGCACAGGACUCAGAACCUCAUCAACCUGGCCGCCCACGCCUACCGGGGAAGUUCUAAGCUACCGUUAGCAACAGCAGCCGCUGAGGCCUCACUUUGCUCGCGCACGGCAGUUGCUUGAGGAAGCCAUCUCCAACUGGGGACAAUGAGGAAAGCCAGAGAAGGAAGGAGAAAAAAGAAGGGGUACAAAGGAGGGGUGCCGACUUGAUUAAGAACCCAAAAGACUGAAACCCAACAUUCACCGUCUAAGGGUCAAAUUCAUCCCAGUUCUUUAGAAUUAACCAAAGUGGUCAAGCUGGAGUGACGGAAGUAGCCUUCCUUUUGAAAUGGAAGGUCAAAGAUCACAGUUCCCACUGGGGAUCCCUCCGCAGGCAUAAUUCCUAUUGGGGGUCCUAUUUGUUGGCAAGGGACUCAAGAGGCAACUUCUAAGAGACCUCUCUCCUCAAAAGGAACUCGAAGGCAACAGUUCAUCCUUCAGCGACUUGAGGUUGCAACAUUUUAAGAGAUAGCCUUUUAAAAAACGGAUUUCUACAUAUGAGCAUCUGCAGUGGGCCGACUACGGGUGCCAACAGUUAUAAGAAACCACUGGAGAGAUGGCUUUUGCGCAAGGCUUCCCCUUGCUCAUAAGGAUCUUCCGGUGCAGAGGCCAGAAGUUCAUCCUCAAAAGAGGUUAAGUUGCACCUUUUGAAAUUACCUCCUUUUCAAAGACUUCCUUUGACGGGGACAUUUGCAAAGGAUCUGGGACUUCCGUCAGUGGCUAGAAGUAACCAGAUAUGACCCGUUAGGAUGACUCUCAAGACAUUUAAGAUGCAACUUUUGAAAUUUCCCUCCCAUCUACAGGAUCUCCUGGUAUAGAGGCCAACAGUUAGGGACCAGAGCAUCUGCCAAUGACUGGAAGAGGGAACUUUCUGAAAGACCUGCUGUUUGAACCACAGGAAUGGGUAUCCUGGAGGGUCAUGAUCCAUAGACUUGCCAGUGUGAUGUUGAAGCUGGAUGAAAUGAACACAGUCUCUGGGGGGGGCUGGCCAGAAAAGACCCCAAAGCUAAAUAAAGUCCCAGGGUGCCCUACAGGAGUUGUCCUCAAGAAAGGAGGUCUUGGGGUUGGGGAUUUAGCUCAGUGGUAGAGCGCUUGCCUAGAAAGCGCAAGGCCCUGGGUUCAGUCCUCAGCUCCGGAAAAAAAGAAAGAAAAAAGAAAAAAAAAGAAAGAAAGGGGGUCUUUUUCACAGAAGUGUCGCCCUAGUCAGAAGCACAGCCUCAAAAUCUUCCAAGUCCUGAGACAGAAAAAGAAUGUUCCAGAGGAACCUGGAUCCCUCAUCCUUUUGCAUGGUGCCAUGGACACACCCAGAGUUCGAGAGUCCAGCCAUCAGAGCAAAGAGCUCUUGAGCUCCAGCAUUCAAGUGUCGCCAGGCCCACGCCAUAUUGACUCCAUGGAGGAACCUGAGUUAAGAAGCAGAGCAGAGCCUACUUAACGGGUUUAUAUGGGCUCCAGGAGUCAUUGAGCUGCAGAGCAAAGGAACCUCCCAGCACCCAUUCAAAACGGUCACAAGUGGAUGAAGCAUACGUAGAAAAUAGAUGUCCUCUGGUUGGUCCUCAUUUUCAUUAAGGGAAAGCAUGUAUGCCAUUUUCUUGUUUUUAGAGGAACGAAGAAAGGCGGCAAAAGCUCAGAGACUUGGAUGCCACAAGUAGUGGCGCGUUUGGUGGCCCUGAUUUUUGUGCCAGGUGCUCUGGUCACCCCCCAAUGAAGUUCUGACAGGAUGACCAGGCUUCCCUCGUGCUCUGGACAGGAAAGAUAGAUUAUCUCUGCUUCUCUAGUGUCAACUGUUGUAAUGUUCUUGCCAAAAAAAGGGGGGGGGUCUAAAAGUCAUUACAUGAAGUCGGUAGCAUUCUUUCCCAGAGACUGACCAUCAGAGGCCUUGAAAGAAAUGAUUACUUUCAAGGCAGUGUGCCUACCACCGCUGACUGCCUGACCCUUGAAACAUGGAGAUUCAGAGCUACCUGACAGUGGGUGUUUCCUUCCCUUGUUGUGUAGUUCACCUCUUUCUCCUAAGCGAAUGUGACAUUCACUGCUUCUCAUAUUCUCAUCUCGCCAACCCUAAGCCCUAAGCCCUAAGCUCUAAGUGUGCAGAACUUUGGAAGUUUGUGCCGAUUCUGACUAAACUGUCUUGUGGGCUUUACCCUGCGAGGCUCUGUGGAGCCUCAUGGAAGCACUUUCUUCAGCAUUACUGGGUUGCCUCAGAUUGAGGGGGUGGGGUGGCUACCACCUCUCCUUCAUUAAACAGUCUUCUUGUGGCUUCUGGUGACAAUCCUGAGCCAGUGGUGGUAGUCACCUAUCAAUACCAGGACCUAACUCCGGUGCUCUUUGGCUGAAAACUCCAAGCCCCAGGGCCCUUCCUCCCCUUUAGCAAACUUGGUUUGGUUUCUUCCUUGGUGACAGGCUCGAUCCCUCCUUCUUUUAAAAAAGGUCUUAUGUUGGAGGGAUCAGCUACCUUGGCUUCUGUUUGUUUCCUUUCCGUAAUGGCUGUAGUUCCCACUCUCUCCUCCCCUCUAAACUUGACUCAUGCUGCUUGCCCAACCAACUGGAUUUCAGCUGGAUCUUCAUGCCCUCUGAGAGGUGUCUUUAUGCCUUUCUGAGAGUUUUGUGUAUCUGGAUGCUACUGUGGCACUCUUCUUUGUUGUGUCUCGCAGCAGCCUCUGAUGACUCCAUACUACCAUCUCCUGUCUCUUUCCUGAAAAGAAAAGAGUCCAGCCAACUUUAAUCUAUACUUGGUUUUGGCUUCUGUGGGUACCCCCUGUUCCUGAAACUUCCUAGUAUCUCGCGGGCUUGAAUGGCUUUUUUUUUUUUCUCGUUUUGCCAAGCAAAGCCAUGGUCCCUACUCUUAAAUAGGUUUCAAUUGUUGUUACUGCCUCAGGCUUUUUCUUGGGAAAACCAUAACAUGACUUUCGAGGAGAGCGUCUACCACACUGCAAACCUGCCCUCCUCACUCCAGGCAUCUGACAGAGCCAGUCUGAAAAAGGCAAGUGACCAGGAUGAGGGCGCUGGCACUCACCUAUAGAGCCUACAAGCCGGAGACUAUGUUCUGUUUCCCCAGUAGCUGGGAAAGGUGAGUCAAUUCUGCCCAGCUAGCCCAUAGUUCACCCUACUGUUGACAGGGGCAACCCUAAGAAGUCUGACAUCCAAGGGUUUAGGCCCAAGGUGUGGCUCCCAAAUUCUUUGGGGCUCACUAUAAAACUUGCCCUUCUGUUUUUAGAGUGUGGGAGUCCAGAGCUUGGAAACUCAUUUCCUCCACUCGCUCUCCUGAGGACCAGGGUUUUUGCCCUCUCAAGGCUCCCCCUGUGCUCUCCCAAGUUCUCAGGAGCUCAGCAGUUCUCCCCACACACACACUGUUAUGCUCCUAACACACCAGUCAUUAUCAAAGUUUUCCCAACCUCUGGCAUCCACACUGCACCAUUUCCCUGGUGUGGGAGCUAAUGACCUCCCUGCACAGCCCCAGCUUUAGCCACCCUGCCUGUCUGUAAUGCAGUGGCUGUGACUGGGAAGAGGACUGUGAUUUAGGCUGAAGCUCAUACCAGUCUUUGGUCUCCAUGACUCUUGAUGUUAGGAAUAGCAGCGUCCACAAAUGCCACCUAUCUAUGGAAAGGCACCAAUAUCCUAUGGAUAGGGGAAAUGGUGUGUGACAGGCAGAAGCCAGAGAUAAGAGACAGAGUUAGUUGUCUGGGAAAUAAACUGGAAAUGGAUAAUCAGACCUGGCUAGUUAGAGAUGUCAGGGUGUAGCUUUUGUCCUUAAUAACACCAGUAAAUGUUUUGGUCACCCAGCCAGAACAUUUUGAGUGGCAGUCAUUCACAACAAGAUGAUGCCCACAGAAAGAUUGGUCAGAGCAGCCACCAAAACCACUUUAUUCCAAGGAUUGUGUUUGCUUGUCUCUACUCCAGCCAGCACCCUCUGGUUUUUGCCUCUUUGGUGAAACAAAGGUGGUUGUAGAAUUUGUUUGGAACUCUAUAGAAAGUUUGGCUGUAUCUUCCGAUCACCGUGCCUCACACUUUGCCUUCCAUUUUGUUUGGGGCUCCUUUGGAACCAUUUUUGGUGACUUUAUUUGGUAAUUGGCUUUGUCUUACCCAGUUCUUCUGAGGUGUUCCAGUUUUAUAGAAUUUUUUUUUUUUUUUUAGCUAUUAUGCCAUUUGUGUGGGUUUAACAAUUCGAGCGCCUGGCCUACGGCAGGGAAGGCUUCUUGAGUUGCGUUCCAUAGAACCUUUGAGUUAGAGAGGCAGGGGUGUCCAGCAGGUCACAUGACCAUAUGUUGCGUGACGUCUUUCCUAUGGUGGCUAUAGUGUUGUCUAACGCAACCUGGAACAAACCACUGUGCCGCUGGCCGGCCGGCAUUCCUGAAAACGCCACGGUGUAGCCACUUCAUUUUUGCGUUCCUUUUUUUAACUUCUUGGCAUGCCUUUACAAAACAUUUUGAGCAGAAGGGUGACAGCAACCCCCCUGGGUGGACAUGCCUACCCCGGGCAGCACAGACUGACAAACGACUUAUCCCUGGGACCAGAGAGCAAUGCCGAGUCUGCGAGGGAGAUUUGAAUCUGUAGGAGCACAUGGACAGCCAGACCCAAGAGCUUAUUAGCUAAGUACGUCAAACUAAGAAAAAGGUGCAAUUCCUCCACCUGGACCCCCAUAAACCGAUGACCUCUCAAUACCAAGAUGGAGUGAUCCCACCUCAACCUGUCAUCCGAUGCCUGGGAUGCUUCAAGGACUGACUCCCCACCAUCCCUUGAGUUUGGAUUUGGCUCUGUGCCCUGCUGUGGACACAGCCUGGCGUUCAUUCACCCAGCUGUUCCUGAGCCACCAUUUCCAGCUCCUAACCUGUUUCCUGCUUUCACCUCACAGCUCAACUUUUUGCUGCCCUGUGCUCUGUGGCUCUGUGAACCCGACUCGGCAGCCCCAGCUAAAGCCCUGACCCAGCACUGGCCUGGCUCAUUAUUCCGUCAAUACAGACUCUUCUUCUUCUUCUUCUUUCCCACUUCUGAAACGUCUUGACCUCUACCUCAGCUCGUUCUGUCACCUACAUAAACGUAUAUAGAUAUAUAUAUCUGCUGUGUGAUAUGAGAGUUAACGCUAGUAAUUAAGGUUGGAAUGAAAGAGUGUGCAUUCACCUCCAGCAGGCUCCCAAGGCAGACAGAUGACAAACCGCUGAACUGGAACUGGAGAGAUGGCUAAGAGUGGGCUGGGUGGGCUUGGGGAUUUAGCUCAGUGGUAGAGCGCUUGCCUAGCAAGUGCAAGGCCCUGGGUUCGGUCCCCAGCUCCGAAAAAAAAAAAAAAAAAAAAAAAAGAGUGGGCUGGGUUCAGUUCCCACAUAAGUGGCUUACAACUGCCCAGAACUCCACCGGCAGCAGGUUUGACACCACCGGCCUCUGCGAACGCCUGUGUUCACAGCUCACAGACCCCCACAGAGACAAACACACACACAUAACGUUUUAAGGUUUUUUUUUAAGACUUUUUUUAUUUAUGAGCGCUCUGUCUGCAUAUAGAUUUGCACACCAGAAGAGGGCAUCUGAUCCCAUUACAGAUGGUUGUGAGCCACCAUGUGGUUGCUGGGAACCCCCCACCUUUGGAAGAGCAGUCAGUGCUCUUAACCCCUGAGCCAUCUCUCCAGUCCAACUUUUUAAGUUUUUAAAUGGAAAAAAAAAUGUAAAGGAAACUGCUAAACCGUGUGGCUUUGUUGCCAUUCAGUAAAUUCUGUCCUUGGGGAAAGACAGAAAUGUGGCCAUCUGUGUUCCCGAUGUAAGGCAUGACCUGUGCUGAGGCUGAGAAAAAAAAAAACAAAAAACAAAAAAACAAAAACAAAAGCAAAAAAACCCCACAGGAUUUACAAGAGAGAAAACUUAUAGCCUAAAAGAUAAUUAAACUGAAGUGUGCUUUUAUUAAGUACUGGAAAAUCUCCAAACUGAUUUUUGCUGGGCAAACUUAAAAUGUAAAUUCCGAAGAUUUUAAUUUAUAAUUCCUUUAUCAUCAUCAUCAUCAUCAUCAUCAUCAUCAUCAUCAUCAUCAUCAUCAUCAUCGAUUUUCGUAUUGAGACAAGGCCUCACUAUGCAGCCCUGACUAGCCAGGAAAAUCACUGUGUAGAUCCACUGACCUCAACCUCCGAGAUCUGCUUGCCUCUGGAGUGCUGGGAUUAAAGGCAUGCACUACGAUGUAUGACCCUACAUUUUGUUUAAAGAAUGUUUUAAAAUUAGUUAUUUGAAUAUAUGGAUAUGUUAACAGAAAA